Molecule: ribosomal RNA, 2923 nt
Filed under: Staphylococcus aureus
Lineage: Bacteria; Bacillati; Bacillota; Bacilli; Caryophanales; Staphylococcaceae
Description: 23S ribosomal RNA
Rfam family: Bacterial large subunit ribosomal RNA
Source: RNAcentral
GAUUAAGUUAUUAAGGGCGCACGGUGGAUGCCUUGGCACUAGAAGCCGAUGAAGGACGUUACUAACGACGAUAUGCUUUGGGGAGCUGUAAGUAAGCUUUGAUCCAGAGAUUUCCGAAUGGGGAAACCCAACAUGAGUUAUGUCAUGUUAUCGAUAUGUGAAUACAUAGCAUAUCAGAAGGCACACCCGGAGAACUGAAACAUCUUAGUACCCGGAGGAAGAGAAAGAAAAAUCGAUUCCCUUAGUAGCGGCGAGCGAAACGGGAAGAGCCCAAACCAACAAGCUUGCUUGUUGGGGUUGUAGGACACUCUAUACGGAGUUACAAAGGACGACAUUAGACGAAUCAUCUGGAAAGAUGAAUCAAAGAAGGUAAUAAUCCUGUAGUCGAAAAUGUUGUCUCUCUUGAGUGGAUCCUGAGUACGACGGAGCACGUGAAAUUCCGUCGGAAUCUGGGAGGACCAUCUCCUAAGGCUAAAUACUCUCUAGUGACCGAUAGUGAACCAGUACCGUGAGGGAAAGGUGAAAAGCACCCCGGAAGGGGAGUGAAAUAGAACCUGAAACCGUGUGCUUACAAGUAGUCAGAGCCCGUUAAUGGGUGAUGGCGUGCCUUUUGUAGAAUGAACCGGCGAGUUACGAUUUGAUGCAAGGUUAAGCAGUAAAUGUGGAGCCGUAGCGAAAGCGAGUCUGAAUAGGGCGUUUAGUAUUUGGUCGUAGACCCGAAACCAGGUGAUCUACCCUUGGUCAGGUUGAAGUUCAGGUAACACUGAAUGGAGGACCGAACCGACUUACGUUGAAAAGUGAGCGGAUGAACUGAGGGUAGCGGAGAAAUUCCAAUCGAACCUGGAGAUAGCUGGUUCUCUCCGAAAUAGCUUUAGGGCUAGCCUCAAGUGAUGAUUAUUGGAGGUAGAGCACUGUUUGGACGAGGGGCCCCUCUCGGGUUACCGAAUUCAGACAAACUCCGAAUGCCAAUUAAUUUAACUUGGGAGUCAGAACAUGGGUGAUAAGGUCCGUGUUCGAAAGGGAAACAGCCCAGACCACCAGCUAAGGUCCCAAAAUAUAUGUUAAGUGGAAAAGGAUGUGGCGUUGCCCAGACAACUAGGAUGUUGGCUUAGAAGCAGCCAUCAUUUAAAGAGUGCGUAAUAGCUCACUAGUCGAGUGACACUGCGCCGAAAAUGUACCGGGGCUAAACAUAUUACCGAAGCUGUGGAUUGUCCUUUGGACAAUGGUAGGAGAGCGUUCUAAGGGCGUUGAAGCAUGAUCGUAAGGACAUGUGGAGCGCUUAGAAGUGAGAAUGCCGGUGUGAGUAGCGAAAGACGGGUGAGAAUCCCGUCCACCGAUUGACUAAGGUUUCCAGAGGAAGGCUCGUCCGCUCUGGGUUAGUCGGGUCCUAAGCUGAGGCCGACAGGCGUAGGCGAUGGAUAACAGGUUGAUAUUCCUGUACCACCUAUAAUCGUUUUAAUCGAUGGGGGGACGCAGUAGGAUAGGCGAAGCGUGCGAUUGGAUUGCACGUCUAAGCAGUAAGGCUGAGUAUUAGGCAAAUCCGGUACUCGUUAAGGCUGAGCUGUGAUGGGGAGAAGACAUUGUGUCUUCGAGUCGUUGAUUUCACACUGCCGAGAAAAGCCUCUAGAUAGAAAAUAGGUGCCCGUACCGCAAACCGACACAGGUAGUCAAGAUGAGAAUUCUAAGGUGAGCGAGCGAACUCUCGUUAAGGAACUCGGCAAAAUGACCCCGUAACUUCGGGAGAAGGGGUGCUCUUUAGGGUUAACGCCCAGAAGAGCCGCAGUGAAUAGGCCCAAGCGACUGUUUAUCAAAAACACAGGUCUCUGCUAAACCGUAAGGUGAUGUAUAGGGGCUGACGCCUGCCCGGUGCUGGAAGGUUAAGAGGAGUGGUUAGCUUCUGCGAAGCUACGAAUCGAAGCCCCAGUAAACGGCGGCCGUAACUAUAACGGUCCUAAGGUAGCGAAAUUCCUUGUCGGGUAAGUUCCGACCCGCACGAAAGGCGUAACGAUUUGGGCACUGUCUCAACGAGAGACUCGGUGAAAUCAUAGUACCUGUGAAGAUGCAGGUUACCCGCGACAGGACGGAAAGACCCCGUGGAGCUUUACUGUAGCCUGAUAUUGAAAUUCGGCACAGCUUGUACAGGAUAGGUAGGAGCCUUUGAAACGUGAGCGCUAGCUUACGUGGAGGCGCUGGUGGGAUACUACCCUAGCUGUGUUGGCUUUCUAACCCGCACCACUUAUCGUGGUGGGAGACAGUGUCAGGCGGGCAGUUUGACUGGGGCGGUCGCCUCCUAAAAGGUAACGGAGGCGCUCAAAGGUUCCCUCAGAAUGGUUGGAAAUCAUUCAUAGAGUGUAAAGGCAUAAGGGAGCUUGACUGCGAGACCUACAAGUCGAGCAGGGUCGAAAGACGGACUUAGUGAUCCGGUGGUUCCGCAUGGAAGGGCCAUCGCUCAACGGAUAAAAGCUACCCCGGGGAUAACAGGCUUAUCUCCCCCAAGAGUUCACAUCGACGGGGAGGUUUGGCACCUCGAUGUCGGCUCAUCGCAUCCUGGGGCUGUAGUCGGUCCCAAGGGUUGGGCUGUUCGCCCAUUAAAGCGGUACGCGAGCUGGGUUCAGAACGUCGUGAGACAGUUCGGUCCCUAUCCGUCGUGGGCGUAGGAAAUUUGAGAGGAGCUGUCCUUAGUACGAGAGGACCGGGAUGGACAUACCUCUGGUGUACCAGUUGUCGUGCCAACGGCAUAGCUGGGUAGCUAUGUGUGGACGGGAUAAGUGCUGAAAGCAUCUAAGCAUGAAGCCCCCCUCAAGAUGAGAUUUCCCAACUUCGGUUAUAAGAUCCCUCAAAGAUGAUGAGGUUAAUAGGUUCGAGGUGGAAGCAUGGUGACAUGUGGAGCUGACGAAUACUAAUCGAUCGAAGACUUAAUCAA